Molecule: ribosomal RNA, 433 nt
Filed under: uncultured bacterium
Lineage: Bacteria
Description: partial 16S ribosomal RNA
Rfam family: Bacterial small subunit ribosomal RNA
Source: RNAcentral
AACGAACGCUGGCGGCAUGCCUAACACAUGCAAGUCGAACGAGACCUUCGGGUCUAGUGGCGCACGGGUGCGUAACGCGUGGGAAUCUGCCCUUGGGUUCGGAAUAACAGUUGGAAACGACUGCUAAUACCGGAUGAUGACGUAAGUCCAAAGAUUUAUCGCCCAGGGAUGAGCCCGCGUAGGAUUAGCUAGUUGGUGGGGUAAAGGCCUACCAAGGCGCCGAUCCUUAGCUGGUCUGAGAGGAUGAUCAGCCACACUGGGACUGAGACACGGCCCAGACUCCUACGGGAGGCAGCAGUGGGGAAUAGUGGACAAUGGGCGAAAGCCUGAUCCAGCAAGGCCGCGUGAGUGAUGAAGGCCUUAGGGUUGUAAAACUCUUUUACCCGGGAUGAUAAUGACAGUACCGGGAGAAUAAGCCCCGGCUAACUCCGUG